RNAcentral lists this transfer RNA (74 nucleotides) under Polymorphobacter multimanifer. Its description in RNAcentral is "tRNA-Gly". It matches the Rfam family "tRNA". From Rfam's summary of the family: Transfer RNA (tRNA) molecules are approximately 80 nucleotides in length. Their secondary structure includes four short double-helical elements and three loops (D, anti-codon, and T loops). Further hydrogen bonds mediate the characteristic L-shaped molecular structure. tRNAs have two regions of fundamental functional importance: the anti-codon, which is responsible for specific mRNA codon recognition, and the 3' end, to which the tRNAs corresponding amino acid is attached (by aminoacyl-tRNA synthetases). tRNAs cope with the degeneracy of the genetic code in two manners: having more than one tRNA (with a specific anti-codon) for a particular amino acid; and 'wobble' base-pairing, i.e. permitting non-standard base-pairing at the 3rd anti-codon position. Lineage: Bacteria; Pseudomonadati; Pseudomonadota; Alphaproteobacteria; Sphingomonadales; Sphingosinicellaceae. The record is from RNAcentral.
GCGGGUAUAGCUCAAUGGUAGAGCACUAGCCUUCCAAGCUAGUGAUGCGGGUUCGAUCCCCGCUACCCGCUCCA